UCUCUUCCUUCACCCAUUUCAUCUUCUUUGUCUCUCCAUUUUCUUCUCCAUUUUCCUUUUCAUUCUCUAGUCUUCUAGUUCUGCAUUUUCAAGUAAAGAGGAGAAGAAGAAGAAGCCGUGAGCAAUCCUAGCAGCCAUCGUUCCACCUUGUGCCGUGAUAAUGAAGCCUUGCUUUCAAGAUUCAAGAUCAACGUCUCAAGCUCUCCAUCAUCCACUCCAUUCACGAACUAUGAAUUCUGGUUAACAAAUAAUGUUAAGGGCAAAGUUUAAAGCCCGUUUAUAUGUUUUGAAAUAAAGUUGUGAUUUCUAUAUGUUGAUUUAUAUGUUACUUAUGUGAGAUUGAUCAAUUGAUUUUGUUUUAUGGAAAACUUUUAUAUGUUUUUGUUCUUUGGUGCGCAACUUAGAAUGAUUGCAUAUAAUUGGCGCUAGUAAUUAGGUUCAUGCUUUGUGACCCUAAUUCGAAUAAGUAGUAAAGGCUUUGGACAAAAGUCGAAAUCAAUUGGUUUGUGUUAUUGAAUAGACAUGCUUUGUGUACUAGGAUUAAUACAAUUAUUGACUAAACUUUCACUUGCUCUUAAUGAUUUGAAACUUGAGUUUGCAUGGUCGCUUUGAUUGUGUGAAACCUGUUUUCAAAAUAUAUUGGUUAGGUGCUUUGCUUGAUCAAUUGUGUAAAGGGAAGUAAAAUAAGGGACAUUGGUUGCUUUAAUCUUUGUUUCUUGGUUGAUAUAUUCUCGUCUCAUAGAUAACCAACUAUUAGAAUUGUGACCGCAUUUCUUUCAUAUGGAUGUAGUUUUGAUCUUUGUUCCUUGCGUUCCACCCUUGUAAAUGUGUUUUUACAUUCUCUUUAUUUUAUUUAGUUUAAUUUUCGAAACCAUAAUUCUUAAACCCCCCUUUUGUUUAGUUAUUUGUAUAUAUUUCUAUUCUUUAUUUUAUUUUUGUAAAUAAUACUUUAUUGUUUAAUUUCUUUAUUUUUUUACACAAUUAUAGGUGUACCCUCAAUCCCCGGCUAGAACGAUCUCUAUUUACCAUAUACUAACGAUGACAUUUUACAGGGUUAAAUUGCGUGCUGCUUU
RNAcentral lists this long non-coding RNA (1073 nucleotides) under Rosa chinensis. RNAcentral describes it as "sRNA RchiOBHm_Chr2g0173601". Lineage: Eukaryota; Viridiplantae; Streptophyta; Magnoliopsida; Rosales; Rosaceae. The record is from RNAcentral.